RNAcentral lists this long non-coding RNA (539 nucleotides) under Heterocephalus glaber (naked mole-rat). RNAcentral's name for it is "lncRNA (ENSHGLG00000037816.1)". Lineage: Eukaryota; Metazoa; Chordata; Mammalia; Rodentia; Bathyergidae. The record is from RNAcentral.
GGUCAGCCGUGGCUGCAGGGAUUGGAAGCUUUCUGGGUGAGGGCAUCUGCCCACACAGAUUGCUUGCUAGAGGCUGUAGGCAGGAGGCCUCAGUGUCUCACCAUACAGAGAUCUCCACACAGCUGCUUGCUCAUCCUCUUGACAUGGCAGCUGACUUCCCCCAGAGCAAGUGACCCCUGAAAGCAAGACAAAGCUGGAAGCAUCUUUUAUCACCUAGCCUCAGAAGCUACUCUCUGUUACUUGUGCAACGUUCCAUUCUGCUGAGGAUACAAAUCAGCCCAACUCAGUGUGGAAGAGGACAUAUAUCAGCGGUCUACCACAAUGGCUUACUCAUUCAUUCUAUGAAGGGCUUUGGGGUUUUGAGUGUCUAAUUAAGUAUUAGAGCCUGGUGGUACCACAGUGGAGUCAUACCCAUAAGAAGAUGAGGUCCCUCUGCUCCUGGAGAUCAACUUCCAGAAGAGGAGUAGAGAGACCCUAUAAAGAAAAUCACCUGGAAUAAUGCAUCCUGAAAUGAUCUAAACAAAGUCAAAGAUGGCAUC